Musa acuminata AAA Group (dessert banana) is the source of this 312-nucleotide long non-coding RNA. RefSeq lists it as uncharacterized. Lineage: Eukaryota; Viridiplantae; Streptophyta; Magnoliopsida; Zingiberales; Musaceae. The record is from RefSeq and is a predicted model, not a curated record. The transcript has 3 exons.
UCUUGCCAGCCGGAUGGCUCUAGGGAUCUUGCAGAUGUCGUUCGACAUGAGGGUUAUGUGGCUAGUCUCCAUUGCAACGGCAGAACCUGAAACCCCCAUGGAGAUCCCGACAUCGGCCAUGGCUAAUGCAGUUACAUUUCUCAAUGCUUGGAGUAUUCUCCACAAAGUAAUAAGCCAACCAUGAUUGCUAGCAAAAAUCCUACUUCUGCCUACACUCACCAGUAAAGAAGCAUCUCCAGAGAAACCUUGCUGCUUUUGGACUGGAACUCCACAACUUUAAACUCUCCUUUCGUUAUCGUCCCGGUCUUGUCG